UGGAGUGUAGCUCAGUGGUAGAGCACUUUCAUAGCGUGUGUGAGGACUUGGGUUCAAUGCUCAGCACUACAA
Ictidomys tridecemlineatus (thirteen-lined ground squirrel) is the source of this 72-nucleotide non-coding RNA. The record is from Rfam. Lineage: Eukaryota; Metazoa; Chordata; Mammalia; Rodentia; Sciuridae.